CCUACGGGAGGCAGCAGUGGGGAAUAUUGGCCAAUGGAGGCAACUCUGAUCCAGCAAUGCCGCGUGUGUGAUGAAGGCCCUAGGGUUGUAAAGCACUUUCAACGGGGAAGAUGAUGACGGUACCCGUAGAAGAAGCCCCGGCUAACUUCGUGCCAGCAGCCGCGGUAAUACGAAGGGGGCGAGCGUUAUUCGGAAUUAUUGGGCGUAAAGGGCUCGCAGGCUGCUUGAACAGUUAGACGUGAAAUCCCCGGGCUCAACCUGGGAACUGCGUUUAAUACUAACAAGCUAAAGUAAUAGAGAGGAAAGUGGAAUUCCCAGUGUAGAGGUGAAAUUCGUAGAUAUUGGGAAGAACACCAGUGGCGAAAGCGGCUUUCUGGCUAUUUGCUGACGCUGAGGACCUAAAGCUUGGGGAGCAAACAGGAUUAAAUACCCUGGUAGAGAACAGGAUUAGAUACCCUGGUAG
Molecule: ribosomal RNA, 463 nt
Filed under: uncultured bacterium
Lineage: Bacteria
Description: bacterial SSU rRNA
Rfam family: Bacterial small subunit ribosomal RNA
Source: RNAcentral